CAGUCGCACGGGAAUACGGAGGGUGCAAGCGUUAAUCGGAAUUACUGGGCGUAAAGCGCACGCAGGCGGUCUGACAAGUCAGAUGUGAAAUCCCCGGGCUUAACCUGGGAACUGCAUUUGAAACUGUCAGGCUGGAGUCUUGUAGAGGGGGGUGGAAUUCCAGGUGUAGCGGUGAAAUGCGUAGAGAUCUGGAGGAAUACCGGUGGCGAAGGCGGCCCCCUGGACAAAGACUGACGCUCAGGUGCGAAAGCGUGGGGAGCAAACAGGAUUAGAUACCCCGGUAGUCCCUGUCUCUUAUACA
Molecule: ribosomal RNA, 301 nt
Filed under: uncultured bacterium
Lineage: Bacteria
Description: partial 16S ribosomal RNA
Rfam family: Bacterial small subunit ribosomal RNA
Source: RNAcentral